This 446-nucleotide unclassified non-coding RNA is filed under the name Asarina procumbens. RNAcentral describes it as "external transcribed spacer". The record is from RNAcentral. Lineage: Eukaryota; Viridiplantae; Streptophyta; Magnoliopsida; Lamiales; Plantaginaceae.
GGCGAUCGGCGUGUGAGGGUAUGUUGGAUCCCUGCUCGUGCAGCGACAACGUCCCCGUCCAUGCCCCUUCAUUAUUUGGCUCAAGUGCUUAAUUGCCUUGGUCUCCUCGGGUUGCCUGUGUUGCAUACCAAUCUUGAAGGCAUUGGUUYGGCUAAAAAUGUCCCGUCUCCACUUAGUGCUGCUUUCCUCGUGAUUGUGGUGCGAGGUGGAACCAAAAAGCAGUCGACGUGUAUCCACUUCUUUUCGUGCGUGCACGAAGGAAUGUUGGCCCAUGUCGGCUUGCUCGAUCUCUCGGUUGCGGAACAUAAUUUGGGUAUGUGGCCCUCGGGCCCCUAUUCUGCCCAUAAAAUAAGCGUUCUACGCUUCGUGCGAACGACUGUCGUUCCCGCUUUGGUCGGGUCCUUGUGGCUCGGGUCAUGCGGUGCGGCGUCGGUGAAGGAAUGCUA